AAGAAAGUGUCAGAGUGGUUAUGUGGCUGGCUUGAAACUAGCUUAUGGGGGUUCGAGUCCUCCCUUUCUGG
This 71-nucleotide transfer RNA is filed under the name Pandaka pygmaea (dwarf pygmy goby). Its description in RNAcentral is "tRNA-Ser". It matches the Rfam family "tRNA". From Rfam's summary of the family: Transfer RNA (tRNA) molecules are approximately 80 nucleotides in length. Their secondary structure includes four short double-helical elements and three loops (D, anti-codon, and T loops). Lineage: Eukaryota; Metazoa; Chordata; Actinopteri; Gobiiformes; Gobiidae. The record is from RNAcentral.